GGUCGUUUGGCGCAAUGGUAGCGCGUCCGCCUCCUAGGCAUCAAGAGGCUUGAACUCUGUUGCGGAAAGCGGAAGGUUGAGGGUUCGAGCCCCUUGAUGAUCG
Molecule: transfer RNA, 103 nt
Filed under: Elsinoe australis
Lineage: Eukaryota; Fungi; Ascomycota; Dothideomycetes; Myriangiales; Elsinoaceae
Description: tRNA-Arg
Rfam family: tRNA
About the family: Transfer RNA (tRNA) molecules are approximately 80 nucleotides in length.
Source: RNAcentral